Dermochelys coriacea (leatherback sea turtle) is the source of this 2117-nucleotide long non-coding RNA. RefSeq lists it as uncharacterized. The record is from RefSeq and is a predicted model, not a curated record. The transcript is spliced from 4 exons. Lineage: Eukaryota; Metazoa; Chordata; Testudines; Dermochelyidae.
AACUCUUUGAAUUCUGUUUAACUGCCUAAUCCAUGAAAGAAUCAAACUGCAAAAACAUUAUCUUGCUUAGACUUGGUGAAUGAAGCAAAGAUCCCUGAAGUUAAUGGGAGUUUUGCUGAACUAAGAAUAAAAGUUCCAUUACCAUAAAAUACAGAAGCUGCAGCUUCCCUUACUUAAAGACUCAGCAGUGAAGCACACAAAAAUCACUGUUCCUAACACCAAGAUCAUGCAAGUUGGUGACAAAGGCAUAGCUGUCAAAAAAAAGGCCAGUUUCACUGCCUAAAUUAAUCUCUAGAAUCAUGAUGAGCAUGGUGGAGAUGGAGCACAAAAACAAUUCAUUAUGACCAAAAAUCUAUCAUCUACAAGACUCCUACCUACUUGAGUGAGUAUUUUGUUUAAUUAAGGACUGAGAAUUUGACCCUUAUUUAGCAAAGCUGCUUAUGCUUUUUAGCUCGUUUAAGAGAAGAACUCUAGAGAAAAUUUACAUGAACUCUUAGCUCAAGAACUCUAUCUAUCCUCUAUGCAGCAAUAAGGCCAAUUAGCUAAGCAGUAGGAUGAAUAUAUGUUAGUCUCCCAAUACAAUACCUGAGAAAAACAAUGAAGACAAGAGGACAAAACCAGAUCAGUACAUCAUAAUGGUAGCUGACUCUCGAUCAAUCAAUAAAACUAUUAAAAAGAUGACCAAUAUCUGAGGUUACCCAAAAGGGCUACAAGGCAUACCACCAAACUGGAGCAGAAAAGCUACAGAAAGAAAAGAAUGAGAUGAGGGUUGAAAAAUACACUAGACUGUUUCCUGGUUGAAGAGGAUAUGAGAAAAUCUGGUGAGAAUGGGAUGCCCUAUAUUCCACCUAUUCACAGAUCUAACUGCAGUACCUAAAGCCUCACAAAAGGUAUUGCUAUCACUUCUGUAAAAUGGACAACAAACUGCCAACUCCAAAUAUCCUUCCAAAUCACCUAAAUCUAAAACAAUACCUCCUGGGCUGCUUUAGUUGUUUAUACAUAGGGAAGAGUAUGUACUUAUGUUGACCUAUUAAGUGCGCUGCUGCUUCAAAAGAUAUUCUCUAUGAAAUCCAGGAAAAUACUCUAAUUUAUUGAUGUAUGGAACAUUCAUACUACAUUACACUGUUUGUUUACUUCAUUUAAUUUAUGGCAACUUCUGUUUAUUUCAUUUCAGGUAGGAAAAGCAACAUGAUCCUCAUUUACUAACGGUCCAAAAACCUGUGCCAAAUGAGGCUCCUAUUCAAAGCUAAGCUAUUCUUGGAAGAGUAAACAAUUCUCACUCACUAGUCAAUUCUGACCAUGCCAAAAGAACUGCUGCACAACCAAAUGAGAGGGAAAAUUAUAUGAGGAAAUAAGAUAAAACAAGUAAUUCAUCACACACUCAACUUGCACUGAUCAGGAGGCAUGUUCCCAGACCUGGAGCUCAGGUGUCGGACUCUUAUUCACACUUCAUUUUCUUGAUAACUGUACUGCUAUCUGGACAAAGAACUACAAAAGAAGCUAACUCCACACCAGAGGACUAAACACACACGGUGGAGAGAGAGAGAGAAAUGCAUUACAGAAUGAGAGAUGCUCAGAGCAAAAGCAGCAGUACCUGCAGCCCACAGGAGGGAACAGCAAGAACCCAAAAGCCAGGAAGAAAUCUUAAACCCUGCAAGAUUCCAUCACCAACCCUAAAGUUUCAGUUGAUACAUGCAGUCUUGCAUAAACACUGACAAGGCUUAGGUUAACUUUAUUACUGAAAUUGAUUUUACUUCAGUAUUGACAUAUUGUUGGAUCUUGACGUCUAUUAAUAGCUUCUUCUGUUAAACGUUGAAUAUCUGAACACCAUAUUCUUGGUAUUGCUGACCAAGCUAAAACUUUUAAUUUAAGAUCUCUGGACUGGGUCUUCAUUUGAUGUAAAUCAGAAUAGUUCUACUGACUUCAAUAGAGCUAUGCUGAUUUAUAACUGAGGAUCCAUCCUCAAUUUUAAUUAACUACAUGUCACAGAUCACUCAUUAAAUGAAGUGAGGGUUUAAAAGAGAUUUUAAAUUGAGAUUUUUAAGCAAAUACUAUUAAAGUGUCUUAUUUUAAAUGACUGAAUAAAAGCUCUCCUCUCAGUUACUGAAUUUCAUAGU